UACGGAGGGGGCGAGCGUUAUUCGGAAUUAUUGGGCGUAAAGGGCGCGUAGGCGGCUUGAUGUGUCAAAGGUGAAAUCCCUCGGCUCAACUGAGGAACUGCCUUUGAAACUGUCUGGCUUGAGGCCGGGAGAGGGUAGCGGAAUUCCCAGUGUAGCGGUGAAAUGCGUAGAUACUGGGAGGAACACCGGUGGCGAAGGCGGCUACCUGGACCGGUUCCGACGCUGAUGCGCGAAAGCGUGGGUAGCAAACAGG
RNAcentral lists this ribosomal RNA (253 nucleotides) under uncultured bacterium. RNAcentral's name for it is "partial 16S ribosomal RNA". It matches the Rfam family "Bacterial small subunit ribosomal RNA", at positions 524 to 776 of the family's 1533-position model. The record is from RNAcentral.